AUGCUUAGGAGGAUGUUCCAAGGUGGUCCUUCAAGGAAGCAAGGUCCCAGGCUUGCAAUAUGUGAUGCUGACAAGGAACCACCAAGAGACGCUCCUGUGAGGCCUUGUGAAUGGCCAUCGGAAAAUUUUAUGAAUCAAGUGCGGAUCAAAGAAGAAUUUAGCACAUAUUUGAGUAACGCCGGCCUUGAGUACUUUGAAGCUGACAAAUGCCCCCAGUAUCAUGAUCUCACAAGUUCAUUUGUGAGGAGGUUUGAGUUUUCAUCUUCGCGUAAUUCUUCUUCGGUCAUGUUUGACCUUUAUGACAAAUCUUAUACCAUGGACUUAGAGGAUUUCACUUCUGCUUGCAAACUUCCAUCUUGGGGUAAUAUCAGGGAUCCCCCUAAAUCUGAAUAUAGAGACUUUCUUGCUAGAAUAACUGUGGGGGAAUCUAGAGAUAUAACACAAGCCACUAUAGGGAACGUUCACUUUCCUGCUAUACAUUAUUUUGCUCUCUUCAUAGGUAGAUGUAUUAAUGCUAAGGAUGAAGCAUGUCACAUGUGUGUCCCUGAUCUCAGCAUUCUCAGGAGUGCUGUGUUAGGAGACCAAUCUUAUCAUAUGGGAGCCAUUGUGGCCCGCAGGUUGCAUUAG
This 627-nucleotide ribosomal RNA is filed under the name Triticum aestivum (bread wheat). Its description in RNAcentral is "partial small subunit ribosomal RNA". The record is from RNAcentral. Lineage: Eukaryota; Viridiplantae; Streptophyta; Magnoliopsida; Poales; Poaceae.